AAGAGUUGCCGUAUCUCUGCAGAGCUGUGGCAGCAAUAUUACUGAAGGGCCCUUCUCCUGAUUCCGCAUAUUUUAGCAGCAGCGGAAUUGCUUCAGGCAGAAGGGCGUUCUUCAUUCCCAGCAGGCUUCCCAUUGCAGUGUUUUAGAAGCCCAUGUUCAACGUUAAGAAAUCUAAAGAUGGAGAGGGUUACUUUCAGAUGCCCUUUGGCAACCAUCAGAAAAGAAGAUUAUCAAGCAAAUCAGUGGGACAACUCCUAAGUUGUGAGUUGGUGUUGCUGGAUCUGGCCCA
This is a long non-coding RNA of Mauremys mutica (yellowpond turtle), 289 nucleotides long. RefSeq lists it as uncharacterized. NCBI's taxonomy places the organism in Eukaryota, Metazoa, Chordata, Testudines, Geoemydidae. The transcript is spliced from 3 exons. The record is from RefSeq and is a predicted model, not a curated record.